Molecule: ribosomal RNA, 247 nt
Filed under: uncultured bacterium
Lineage: Bacteria
Description: partial 16S ribosomal RNA
Rfam family: Bacterial small subunit ribosomal RNA
Source: RNAcentral
UUAGUGGCGGACGGGUGAGUAACGCGUGAGUAACCUGCCGUGGAGAGUGGGAUAACACAUCGAAAGGUGUGCUAAUACCGCAUAUGACAGCAGUAUCACAUGAUACAGCUGUGAAAGAUUUAUCGCUCCAUGAUGGACUCGCGUCUGAUUAGCUGGUUGGUAGGGUAGAGGCCUACCAAGGCGACGAUCAGUAGCCGGACUGAGAGGUUGAUCGGCCACAUUGGGACUGAGACACGGCCCAGACUCC